GCGGAAAAUCGCACAUCUGGUCUUGAUAUUAGAGCAUCGGACUGUCGAUCCGAAGGUUGAGGGUUCGAGUCCCUUCGGCA
This 80-nucleotide transfer RNA is filed under the name Phycisphaerales bacterium. RNAcentral's name for it is "tRNA-Asp". The stretch from base 20 to 75 matches the Rfam family "tRNA", at positions 9 to 63 of the family's 71-position model. From Rfam's summary of the family: Transfer RNA (tRNA) molecules are approximately 80 nucleotides in length. Their secondary structure includes four short double-helical elements and three loops (D, anti-codon, and T loops). Further hydrogen bonds mediate the characteristic L-shaped molecular structure. tRNAs have two regions of fundamental functional importance: the anti-codon, which is responsible for specific mRNA codon recognition, and the 3' end, to which the tRNAs corresponding amino acid is attached (by aminoacyl-tRNA synthetases). tRNAs cope with the degeneracy of the genetic code in two manners: having more than one tRNA (with a specific anti-codon) for a particular amino acid; and 'wobble' base-pairing, i.e. permitting non-standard base-pairing at the 3rd anti-codon position. The record is from RNAcentral. Lineage: Bacteria; Pseudomonadati; Planctomycetota; Phycisphaerae; Phycisphaerales.